Molecule: ribosomal RNA, 253 nt
Filed under: uncultured bacterium
Lineage: Bacteria
Description: partial 16S ribosomal RNA
Rfam family: Bacterial small subunit ribosomal RNA
Source: RNAcentral
UACAAAGGGGGCUAGCGUUGCUCGGAAUGACUGGGCGUAAAGGGCGCGUAGGCGGCUUACAUAGUUAGGCGUGAAAUUCCUGGGCUCAACCUGGGGACUGCGUCUAAUACAUGUAGGCUUGAGUGUGAAAGAGGGUUGUGGAAUUUCCAGUGUAGAGGUGAAAUUCGUAGAUAUUGGAAAGAACACCGGUGGCGAGGGCGGCGACCUGGUUCAUUACUGACGCUGAGGCGCGAAAGCGUGGGGAGCAAACAGG